CCGCCGCUGGCGGCAGGCUUAACACAUGCAAGUCGAGCGCCCCGCAGGGGAGCGGCAGACGGGUGAGUAACGCGUGGGAACGUACCAUUUGCUACGGAAUAACUCAGGGAAACUUGUGCUAAUACCGUAUGUGCCCUUCGGGGGAAAGAUUUAUCGGCAAAUGAUCGGCCCGCGUUGGAUUAGCUAGUUGGUGGGGUAAAGGCUCACCAAGGCGACGAUCCAUAGCUGGUCUGAGAGGAUGAUCAGCCACACUGGGACUGAGACACGGCCCAGACUCCUACGGGAGGCAGCAGUGGGGAAUAUUGGACAAUGGGCGCAAGCCUGAUCCAGCCAUGCCGCGUGAGUGAUGAAGGCCCUAGGGUUGUAAAGCUCUUUCACCGGUGAAGAUAAUGACGGUAACCGGAGAAGAAGCCCCGGCUAACUUCGUGCCAGCAGCCGCGGUUAAUA
This 447-nucleotide ribosomal RNA is filed under the name Brucella melitensis. RNAcentral describes it as "bacterial SSU rRNA". It matches the Rfam family "Bacterial small subunit ribosomal RNA", at positions 34 to 525 of the family's 1533-position model. The record is from RNAcentral. Lineage: Bacteria; Pseudomonadati; Pseudomonadota; Alphaproteobacteria; Hyphomicrobiales; Brucellaceae.